Molecule: long non-coding RNA, 547 nt
Organism: Lotus japonicus
Lineage: Eukaryota; Viridiplantae; Streptophyta; Magnoliopsida; Fabales; Fabaceae
Exons: 2
Source: RefSeq, a predicted model, not a curated record
UGACACUAAUUCUUUUAGAAUUCUGAAAUCAUAUUAGGUAAGUAUAUCUCUCUGAACAAAUUAUUUUUCAUAUACACCGCUCAACAAUCAAAGCCUAAAACUAAAUGUUCAAUAUGUUCUCUUAGGGCCUGUUUGGGGUAGCGUUUCAGACCCCAAACGUGCGUUGCGUUCCGGAGAACGUGAUUUACCAGUUUGCUGCAAGUGUUUGGUUUAGCGUUUUUGUCAACGCACCAACGCAGAUCCGGGCCAAAACAGCGUUGAACAAGAAGCGAUAAAUUAGAACGGCAGCGUCCAACGUUCUCGUUUGACCGUUGAAGAAUUAAAGUUUGUUGUUGAACAUGCCUUUGUGGGACUGGAACUGUGCACCUGCGAGCUGCAACUAGUUACAAGGGAGAAGAAACCAGGAAAAUAGCCAACGAAGAAGAAAGAGGAGAUGCAAGUCUCCUAGUCUAAAGCCAAAUUGAAAUAAAAUUUGGUGCCCUUUUUACUUUAUUUAUUUCAUUUUUAAUUUUAUAUUUAGUAAUGAAAACUAUCUCAUAAUAAAUAA